GCCCGCCUAGCUCAAUCGGAUAGAGCGUCAGACUCUUACGACCAUAGGCAGGGCAUCUGAAGGCUGCGAGUUCGACCCUCGCGGUGGGCU
Molecule: transfer RNA, 90 nt
Filed under: Cylindrobasidium torrendii FP15055 ss-10
Lineage: Eukaryota; Fungi; Basidiomycota; Agaricomycetes; Agaricales; Physalacriaceae
Rfam family: tRNA
About the family: Transfer RNA (tRNA) molecules are approximately 80 nucleotides in length. Their secondary structure includes four short double-helical elements and three loops (D, anti-codon, and T loops).
Source: Rfam by way of RNAcentral